Molecule: ribosomal RNA, 873 nt
Filed under: uncultured archaeon
Lineage: Archaea
Description: bacterial SSU rRNA
Rfam family: Archaeal small subunit ribosomal RNA
Source: RNAcentral
CUCCGGUUGAUCCUGCCGGACCUGACUGCUAUCGGAUUGGUACUAAGCCAUGCGAGUCAUUGUAGCAAUACAAGGCGGACGGCUCAGUAACACGUAGUCAACCUAACUCGUGGACGUGGAUAACCUCGGGAAACUGAGAAUAAACCACGAUAGAUCAUAGUGCCUGGAAUGGCUUAUGGUCCAAACAGUUUACUGCCAUGGGAUGGGACUGCGGCCUAUCAGCUUGUUGGUGAGGUAAUGGCCCACCAAGGCGAUUACAGGUACGGGCUCUGAGAGGAGAAGCCCGGAGAUGGGUACUGAGACACGGACCCAGGCCCUAUGGGGCGCAGCAGGCGAGAAACCUUAGCAAUGUGCGAAAGCACGACUGGGUCAGUCCGAGUGAUUCCUGAUAAAGGAGUCUUUUGCUUGUCCUAAAAGCACAGGUGAAUAAGGGGUGGGCAAGUCUGGUGUCAGCCGCCGCGGUAAUACCAGCACCUCGAGUGGUCAGGACGUUUAUUGGGCCUAAAGCAUCCGUAGCCGGCUCUGCAAGUCUUCGGUUAAAUCCACCUGCUCAACAGAUGGGCUGCUGGAGAUACUACAGAGCUAGGGAGUGGGAGAGGCAGACGGUAUUCAGUGGGUAGGGGUAAAAUCCUCUGAUCCAUUGAGGACCACCAGUGGCGAAGGCGGUCUGCCAGAACACGUUCGACGGUGAGGGAUGAAAGCUGGGGGAGCAAACCGGAUUAGAUACCCGGGUAGUCCCAGCUGUAAACGAUGCAAACUCGGUGAUGCAUUGGCUUAUGGCCAAUGCAGUGCCGCAGGGAAGCCGUUAAGUUUGCCGCCUGGGAAGUACGGACGCAAGUCUGAAACUUAAAGGAAUUGGCGGGGGAGCACAAA